UUAACACAAGCAAGUUGGAACGGGAAAGGCCCCUGCUUGCAGGGUACUUCGAGUGGCGAACGGGUGAGUAACACGUGGGUGAUUUGCCCUGUAUUUCGGGAUAAGCUGGGGAAACUGGGUCUAAUACCGGAUAGGACCGUUCUUUUAGUGUAGGCGGUGGAAAGACUUCGGUCGGUUAGGGGAUGAGCUUGCGGCCUAUCAGCUUGUUGGUGGGGUAAUGGCCUACCAAGGCGUCGACGGGUAGCCGGCCUGAGAGGGUGUACGGCCACAUUGGGACUGAGAUACGGCCCAGACUCCUACGGGAGGCAGCAGUGGGGAAUAUUGCACAAUGGGCGCAAGCCUGAUGCAGCGACGCCGCGUGGGGGAUGACGGCCCUCGGGUUGUAAACUCCUUUCGCCAGGGACGAAGCGUUAUAGUGACGGUACCUGGAUAAGAAGCACCGGCUAACUACGUGCCAGCAGCCGCGGUAAUACGUAGGGUGCAAGCGUUGUCCGGAAUUACUGGGCGUAAAGAGCUCGUAGGUGGUUUGUCACGUCGUCUGUGAAAGUCCAGCGCUUAACGCUGGGAUUGCAGGCGAUACGGGCUGACUUGAGUGCUGUAGGGGAGACUGGAAUUCCUGGUGUAGCGGUGAAAUGCGCAGAUAUCAGGAGGAACACCAAUGGCGAAGGCAGGUCUCUGGGCAGUGACUGACGCUGAGGAGCGAAAGCAUGGGUAGCCAACAGGAUUAGAUACCCUGGUAGUCCAUGCCGUAAACGGUGGGCGCUAGGUGUGGGGACCUUCCACGGUUUCUGCGCCGUAGCUAACGCA
RNAcentral lists this ribosomal RNA (807 nucleotides) under uncultured bacterium. Its description in RNAcentral is "bacterial SSU rRNA". It matches the Rfam family "Bacterial small subunit ribosomal RNA", at positions 48 to 859 of the family's 1533-position model. The record is from RNAcentral.